Molecule: unclassified non-coding RNA, 317 nt
Filed under: fungal sp.
Lineage: Eukaryota; Fungi
Description: partial internal transcribed spacer region
Rfam family: Eukaryotic small subunit ribosomal RNA (bases 1-46)
Source: RNAcentral
AAGUCGUAACAAGGUUUCCGUAGGUGAACCUGCGGAAGGAUCAUUAACAGUGUAAUGUAUAAUGCAAAUUAUACCAUUCGCUUACCAUCAUGUGUGAAUUGUUUUGACUGACUUGAGUGGGAGAGAGAGCUUGAGAGCGGUGCGAAGUUGGCUGAAAUAUGCUACUUGGCUCAAUGCACUCGCCCUCACUUCCGCUCACAUAUUUAACUAGUAAACCACUAUUCUACAAUGUACUGAGUCUGCUUUGCGUGUGUAAACAGCACCGAAGUUUAGUUGUGAAACUUGCAAAACUUUUAGCAAUGGAUCUCUAGGCUCUU